GUGUCAGCAGCCGCGGUAAAACGUAGGAGGCAAGCGUUAUCCGGAGUUACUGGGCGUAAAGCGCGUGUAGGUGGAUCGGUAAGUUACUUAUAAAAGCUCCUGGCUAAACUAGGAGAGGUUGAGUGAUACUGCCAGUCUUGAAUAGAGGAGAGGUUGACGGAAUUCCGCGUGUAGUGGUGAAAUGCGUAGAGAUGCGGAAGAACACCAGUGGCGAAGGCGGUCAACUGGCCUCAUAUUGACACUCAGACGCGAAGGCAUGGGUAGCGAACGGGAUUAGAAACCCCUGUAGUCC
This 292-nucleotide ribosomal RNA is filed under the name uncultured bacterium. RNAcentral's name for it is "partial 16S ribosomal RNA". It matches the Rfam family "Bacterial small subunit ribosomal RNA", at positions 505 to 796 of the family's 1533-position model. The record is from RNAcentral.